ACAUGGUUCCUGAUAACGGAUGAAAAGGGAAUUCGGUAAGACUGCUGGUCGAAGCCGGAGCUGCCCCCGCAACUGUAUCUGGAUAGUGUUUCGCCAUUGCCACUGGGUUUGAUGUCCGGGAAGGGGCGAAAACAUGUUGACCCUGGAGCCAGUAGACCUGCCGUGUGCAUUG
This 172-nucleotide non-coding RNA is filed under the name uncultured Bilophila sp. Lineage: Bacteria; Pseudomonadati; Thermodesulfobacteriota; Desulfovibrionia; Desulfovibrionales; Desulfovibrionaceae. The record is from RNAcentral.